AGGCUACUGCUAUCAGAGUUCGAUUAAGCCAUGUUAGUCGAGGGUGCUUCUUCUUCUUCGGAGGGGGUAAGUAACCCGGCAGACGGCUCAGUAACACGUGGACAACUUGUCCUUUGGACCGGGAUAACCCCUGGGAAACUGGGGCUAAUACCGGAUAGAGCAUUGAUCGCUGGAAUGCAUGAUGCUCGAAAGCUGAGGUGCCAAAGGUUAGGUCUGCGACUGAUUAGGUUGUUGUUGAUGUAACGGAUCAACAAGCCUCCGAUCGGUAUGGGUUGUGAGAGCAAUAGCCCAGAGAUGGGUUCUGAGAGAAGAACCCAGGUCCUACGGGACGCAUCAGGCGCGAAAACUUUACAAUGUGCGAAAGCACGAUAAGGGGAACUUGUGAGGUGCCUCCCAAGGAGGCUUUUCAGGUGUCUAAAACGCAUCUGAAGUAAGGGCUGGGCAAGACCCGGUGCCAGCCGCCGCGGUAACACCGGCAGCCCAAGUGGUGGCCACUUUUACUGGGUCUAAAGCGUCCGUAGCCGGCCGGGUAAGUUCCUUGGGAAAUUUAACCGCUUAACGAUAAACUUCCAGAGAAUACUGCCUGGCUUGGGACCGGGAGAGGUCAGAGGUACCUCAAGGGUAGGGGUGAAAUCCGUUAAUCCUUGGGGANCGCCAGUAGCGAANGCGUCUGGCCAGACCGGAUCCGACGGUGAGGGACGAAGGCUAGGNUAGCGNACCGGANUAGAUANCCGGGUAGUNCUAGCUGUNAACGAUGCNGGCUAGGUGNUNGCANUACUGCGAGUGAUGCNAGUGCCGAANNGAAGNCGNUNAGCCCGCCAUCUGGGGAGUACGGUCGCAAGGCUGAAACUUAAAGGAAUUGGCGGGGGAGCACUACAACGGGUGGAGCUGCGGUUCAAUUGGAUUCAACGCCGGAAAACUCACCGGAGGCGACAGCGAGAUGAAGGUCAGGUUGAAGACCUUACCGGAUUAGCUGAGAGGUGGCGCAUGGCCGUCGGCAGUUCGUGUCGUGAGACAUCCUGUUCCCCCAGGCACCCGGCGAGACCCGCGCUCACAGUUGCCAGCAUCUCCUUCGGGAGAAUGGGCACUCUGUGAGGACUGCCGCCGCUAAGGUGGAGGAAGAAGCGGGCCACGGUAGGUCAGUAUGCCCCGAAUCCUCCGGGCUACACGCGUGCUACAAUGGGUGGUACAAUGGGUAUCGACCCCGAAAGGGGGAGGUAAUCUCCUAAAGCUGCCCCAAGUUGGGACCCAGGCCUGCAACUCGCCCUCGUGAACCUGGAAUCCGUAGUAAUCGCCCCUCAAAAUGGGGCGGUGAAUAUGUCCCUGCUCCUUGCACACACCGCCCGUCAAGCCAGCCGAGUGGGAUUUAGGUGAGGCCAUCUUUUCUUGGGGUGUUCGAACCUAAGUCUCGUAAGGGGGGCU
This 1422-nucleotide ribosomal RNA is filed under the name uncultured archaeon. RNAcentral's name for it is "bacterial SSU rRNA". It matches the Rfam family "Archaeal small subunit ribosomal RNA". The record is from RNAcentral.